GCAGCAGCCACGGUAAAACGUAGGUGGCAAGCGUUGUCCGGAUUUACUGGGCGUAAAGCGCGCGCAGGCGGAUGGUUAAGUAGGAAGUGAAAGGUUGGAGCUCAACUCCAACAUUGCUCCCUAUACUGGCCGUCUUGAGUCCCGGAGAGGAAAGCGGAACGACACGUGGAGCGGUGAAAUGCGUUGAUAUGUGUCGGAACACCAAUGGCGAAGGCAGCUUUCUGGACGGGUACUGACGCUCAGGCGCGAAAACCGAGGUAGCGAACAGGAUUAGAUACCCCCGUAGUCCCUGUCUCUUAUAU
RNAcentral lists this ribosomal RNA (302 nucleotides) under uncultured bacterium. Its description in RNAcentral is "partial 16S ribosomal RNA". It matches the Rfam family "Bacterial small subunit ribosomal RNA", at positions 508 to 809 of the family's 1533-position model. The record is from RNAcentral.